AACAUGGAGGCGCCGCAGCUGCACGCAUCGCCGCUAGAGGAGAACGCCGCCAGCGCCGGCAAAGCUCUGCGGCAGAUGCGGGCGCUACUUGCAGAGCGUCCCGACGUGGAACUCAGCUGCCUGGAGGACUGGUAUCUGCUGCGUUUCCUGCGCUGCAAGCUGUACGACCCCACGCAGGCUCUCCGUCUGGCGCAGCUGUACGAGGAGUUCGUGCGCCAGCGCGGGCCCGGCUGGCGGCGCCCACGUCGGCCGUGGGUGCGGCGCUGCCUGACCUCUGGCGUGCUGGAGGUGC
Molecule: long non-coding RNA, 292 nt
Organism: Schistocerca piceifrons (Central American locust)
Lineage: Eukaryota; Metazoa; Arthropoda; Insecta; Orthoptera; Acrididae
Exons: 3
Source: RefSeq, a predicted model, not a curated record